This 589-nucleotide unclassified non-coding RNA is filed under the name Homo sapiens (human). Its description in RNAcentral is "mucin 20, cell surface associated (ENSG00000275501.4, ENSG00000276583.4, ENSG00000278114.4)". The record is from RNAcentral. Lineage: Eukaryota; Metazoa; Chordata; Mammalia; Primates; Hominidae.
AAAAGGUACCCGCGAGAGACAGCCAGCAGUUCUGUGGAGCAGCGGUGGCCGGCUAGGAUGGGCUGUCUCUGGGGUCUGGCUCUGCCCCUUUUCUUCUUCUGCUGGGAGGUUGGGGUCUCUGGGAGCUCUGCAGAUUUGAAGAUUGUACCAGGAGAGCCGCAGUGUUCCAGAGCUACUGAGGGGCUGGGCUGGGAUUUGCUGUAUUCGAGAAGACCCCCUUGGACCCGAGAGGCUGUGGGCUUGGGGAGCAUGAGGAGGUUUCACAGCAGAAAGGACACCCCGGGGCUCCUGGAUAAGCCAGAAAAUGUGCCAGGGGAAGUCGGGCUCCAAGGGCACCACUCUGGGCUUCCAGCUGUGUGGGCUGGACCAAGAAGGCUCAAAGAAAUGAUCUCAGGCUUGAAGUGGGGAGAAGAAACUGUAUUAUGAAGGCAGACGAACAGUUCCUGCAAAAGCCCCAGCACCCGCAGAGCAGACACUGCGAUGACAACGGACGACACAGAAGUGCCCGCUAUGACUCUAGCACCGGGCCACGCCGCUCUGGAAACUCAAACGCUGAGCGCUGAGACCUCUUCUAGGGCCUCAACCCCAG